This is a long non-coding RNA of Bufo gargarizans (Asiatic toad), 583 nucleotides long. RefSeq lists it as uncharacterized. The transcript has 4 exons. NCBI's taxonomy places the organism in Eukaryota, Metazoa, Chordata, Amphibia, Anura, Bufonidae. The record is from RefSeq and is a predicted model, not a curated record.
CCAGGAAGUUAUCAGGACAUCUACUGCUGGUAAGAUUGAAACAGCAAAGUGGGACAACCCCUUUAAUGGCCAGAAGAGACUUGUCCAUAAGUCGGGAGGUGAUGGACUUGAGGGGAUGACCCUAUUGGGAGAUCUAUGAAUCGACCGACAUGGCUCCCUUUUGAUACAUUUGUCAAGCUGCUAGAAGUUUCCUGAGACUGGAGAAAAUGGUUGGGAGCAACUUUCAUGACUAAGAUUCUUCUGGCUCCUGACUCACUCCACCAGAUCAACCAAAACAGUUGCACCCAUCAAUGCUUACCCGGAAAGGGGACCUGGCCGCAUCAAGGGGUCCUGCUGCUGGGAUCCUCAUUGAUCACAGGAACAGGGUUGCAAUUCCCCUGAUUGAGUGGACCAGCAGAUCAAGUAUUUGCUACUCUGUUUACUGUCUAUUGGAUUGCCAAUCAUCAUUCCAGUGAAUACGCCUGCUUGUCCUGCCAUUCUAUUCCUUCAGCGGAGGAAGCAAGAAACUGUGAACCAGUUUAUCCUUUAAGUUUUGUCCCCUCCUAUAUGUCACACUGGGAUAUGGUGAUAACACGGGUCUUAG